GCCGAAGUGGUGAAACUGGUAGACGCGCACGGUUCAGGGCCGUGUGGGCGUUAGCCCGUGUGGGUUCGACUCCCACCUUCGGCA
Molecule: transfer RNA, 84 nt
Filed under: Candidatus Zhuqueibacterota bacterium
Lineage: Bacteria; Pseudomonadati
Description: candidate division KSB1 bacterium (microbial mat metagenome) tRNA-Leu
Rfam family: tRNA
About the family: Transfer RNA (tRNA) molecules are approximately 80 nucleotides in length.
Source: RNAcentral